GUGGGGAAUAUUGGACAAUGGGCGCAAGCCUGAUCCAGCCAUGCCGCGUGAGUGAUGAAGGCCUUCGGGUUGUAAAGCUCUUUAGUCCACGAAUAUAAUGACUGUAGUGGAAGAAUAAGCCCCGGCUAACUUCGUGCCAGCAGCCGCGGUAAUACGAAGGGGGCGAGCGUUAUUCGGAAUCACUGGGCGUAAAGCGUGCGUAGGCUGUUUUGUAAGUCAGAAGUGAAAGCCCAGGGCUUAACCCUGGAAUUGCUUUUGAAACUACAAGACUCGAAUUCGGGAGAGGAUAGCGGAAUUGUCAGUGUAGCAGUGAAAUGCGUAGAUAUUGACAGGAACACCAGUGGCGCAAGCGGCUAUCUGGACCGAUAUUGACGCUGAGGCACGAAAGCGUGGGGAGCAAACAGGAUUAGAUACCCUUGUAGUCC
This 425-nucleotide ribosomal RNA is filed under the name uncultured bacterium. RNAcentral describes it as "partial 16S ribosomal RNA". It matches the Rfam family "Bacterial small subunit ribosomal RNA", at positions 354 to 796 of the family's 1533-position model. The record is from RNAcentral.